CCUGAUUUCCAUAGGAGGUCUAGCCUGCCCAGUGACAAAGUUAAACGGCCGCGGUACCCUAACCGUGCAAAGGUAGCGCAAUCACUUGUUCUUUAAAUGAGGACUAGUAUGAAUGGCAUCACGAGGGUUAUGCUGUCUCCYUACUUUAUUCAGUGAAACUGAUCUCCCCGUGAAGAAGCGGGGAUAAAAAUAUAAGACGAGAAGACCCCAUGGAGCUUUAAACUCAGUAUCAACUGCCAUAAUUAAAACCUAAUACCCAAGCAGUAUAUGACUACUAGUUUUCGGUUGGGGUGACCMCGGAGUAAAACCUAACCUCCAUGAUGAAAGGAAAUAAUAACCUAAAUUAAGAGCUACAACUCUAAAUAUCAUAAAAUUGACUAAAUUGAUCCAAUCAACUUA
This 399-nucleotide ribosomal RNA is filed under the name Microhyla heymonsi (Taiwan rice frog). RNAcentral's name for it is "partial 16S ribosomal RNA". It matches the Rfam family "Bacterial large subunit ribosomal RNA", at positions 1835 to 2431 of the family's 2925-position model. The record is from RNAcentral. Lineage: Eukaryota; Metazoa; Chordata; Amphibia; Anura; Microhylidae.